This 253-nucleotide ribosomal RNA is filed under the name uncultured bacterium. Its description in RNAcentral is "partial 16S ribosomal RNA". It matches the Rfam family "Bacterial small subunit ribosomal RNA", at positions 524 to 776 of the family's 1533-position model. The record is from RNAcentral.
UACGGAGGAUCCGAGCGUUAUCCGGAUUUAUUGGGUUUAAGGGGAGCGUAGGCGGGUUGUUAAGUCAGUUGUGAAAGUUUGCGGCUCAACCGUAAAAUUGCAGUUGAUACUGGCAUCCUUGAGUACAGUAGAGGUAGGCGGAAUUCGUGGUGUAGCGGUGAAAUGCUUAGAUAUCACGAAGAACUCCGAUUGCGAAGGCAGCCUGCUGGACUGUAACUGACGCUGAUGCUCGAAAGUGUGGGUAUCAAACAGG